This 497-nucleotide ribosomal RNA is filed under the name uncultured bacterium. RNAcentral describes it as "partial 16S ribosomal RNA". It matches the Rfam family "Bacterial small subunit ribosomal RNA", at positions 28 to 507 of the family's 1533-position model. The record is from RNAcentral.
GAUGAACGCUGGCGGCGUGCCUAAUACAUGCAAGUCGAGCGAACAUACGAGGAGCUUGCUCCUCUGACGUUAGCUGCGGACGUUUGAGUAACACGUGGAUAACCUACCUAUAAGACUUGGAUAACUUCGGGAAACCGGCGCUAAUACCGCAUAAUAUAUUUAACCGCAUGGUUCAAUAGUGAAAGACGGUUUUGCUGUCACUUAUACAUUGUUCCGCUCCGCAUUAGCUAGUUGGUAAGGUAACGGCUUACCAAGGCAACGAUGCGUAGCCGACCUGAGAGGGUAAACAGCCACACUGAAACUGAGAAACAGUCCAAACUCCUACGAGAGGCAGCAGUAGGGAAUCGUACGCAAUGGGCGAAAGCCUGACGGAGCAAAGCCGCGUGAGUGAUGAAGGUCUUCGGAUCGUAAAACUCUGUUAUUAGGGAAGAACAAAUGUGUAAGUAACAAUGCACGUCUUGACGGUACCAGAUCAGAAAGCCACGGCUAACUACGUG